CCAGACUCCUACGGGAGGCAGCAGUGGGGGAUAUUGCACAAUGGGGGAAACCCUGAUGCAGCGACGCCGCGUGAGUGAAGAAGUAUUUCGGUAUGUAAAGCUCUAUCAGCAGGGAAGAAGAUGACAGUACCUGAGUAAGAAGCCCCGGCUAACUACGUGCCAGCAGCCGCGGUAAUACGUAGGGGGCAAGCGUUAUCCGGAUUUACUGGGUGUAAAGGGAGCGUAGACGGAUGGAUAAGUCUGAAGUGAAAGCCCGCGGCUCAACUGCGGGACUGCUUUGGAAACUGUGCAUCUUGAGUACGGGAGGGGCAGGCGGAAUUCCUGGUGUAGCGGUGAAAUGCGUAGAUAUCAGGAGGAACACCGGCGGCGAAGGCGGCCUGCUGGACCGAAACUGACGUUGAGGCUCGAAAGCGUGGGGAGCAAACAGGAUUAGAUACCCGAGUA
Molecule: ribosomal RNA, 444 nt
Filed under: uncultured bacterium
Lineage: Bacteria
Description: bacterial SSU rRNA
Rfam family: Bacterial small subunit ribosomal RNA
Source: RNAcentral